This 1797-nucleotide ribosomal RNA is filed under the name Salmonella enterica. RNAcentral's name for it is "partial 23S ribosomal RNA". It matches the Rfam family "Bacterial large subunit ribosomal RNA", at positions 1 to 2290 of the family's 2925-position model. The record is from RNAcentral. RNAcentral also lists the same sequence under 4 other names. Lineage: Bacteria; Pseudomonadati; Pseudomonadota; Gammaproteobacteria; Enterobacterales; Enterobacteriaceae.
AUACGCAUCCUUUGCUGAGGAGACGGUUAACGGAGCGAAAGCGACGUUCAACCUCAAAAGAAGCAGAGGGGGCUUAGUGGUGGGGUGACUGCGUACCUUUUGUAUAAUGGGUCAGCGACUUAUAUUCUGUAGCAAGGUUAACUGUAUAGGGGAGCCGGAGGGAAACCGAGUCUUAACCGGGCGUUAAGUUGCAGGGUAUAGACCCGAAACCCGGUGAUCUAGCCAUGGGCAGGUUGAAGGUUGGGUAACACUAACUGGAGGACCGAACCGACUAAUGUUGAAAAAUUAGCGGAUGACCUGUGGCUGGGGGUGAAAGGCCAAUCAAACCGGGAGAUAGCUGGUUCUCCCCGAAAGCUAUUUAGGUAGCGCCUCGUGAAUUCAUCUCCGGGGGUAGAGCACUGUUUCGGCUAGGGGGCCAUCCCGGCUUACCAACCCGAUGCAAACUGCGAAUACCGGAGAAUGUUAUCACGGGAGACACACGGCGGGUGCUAAUGUCCGUCGUGAAGAGGGAAACAACCCAGACCGCCAGCUAAGGUCCCAAAGUCAUGGUUAAGUGGGAAACGAUGUGGGAAGGCCCAGACAGCCAGGAUGUUGGCUUAGAAGCAGCCAUCAUUUAAAGAAAGCGUAAUAGCUCACUGGUCGAGUCGGCCUGCGCGGAAGAUGUAACGGGGCUAAACCAUGCACCGAAGCUGCGGCAGCGACACCGUGUGUUGUUGGGUAGGGGAGCGUUCUGUAAGCCUGUGAAGGUGUGCUGUGAGGCAUGCUGGAGGUAUCAGAAGUGCGAAUGCUGACAUAAGUAACGAUAAAGCGGGUGAAAAGCCCGCUCGCCGGAAGACCAAGGGUUCCUGUCCAACGUUAAUCGGGGCAGGGUGAGUCGACCCCUAAGGCGAGGCCGAAAGGCGUAGUCGAUGGGAAACGGGUUAAUAUUCCCGUACUUGGUGUUACUGCGAAGGGGGGACGGAGAAGGCUAUGUUGGCCGGGCGACGGUUGUCCCGGUUUAAGCGUGUAGGUAUGUGUUCCAGGUAAAUCCGGUUCACUUUAACACUGAGGCGUGACGACGAGGCACUACGGUGCUGAAGCAACAAAUGCCCUGCUUCCAGGAAAAGCCUCUAAGCAUCAGGUAACAUCAAAUCGUACCCCAAACCGACACAGGUGGUCAGGUAGAGAAUACCAAGGCGCUUGAGAGAACUCGGGUGAAGGAACUAGGCAAAAUGGUGCCGUAACUUCGGGAGAAGGCACGCUGACACGUAGGUGAAGUGAUUUACUCACGGAGCUGAAGUCAGCCGAAGAUACCAGCUGGCUGCAACUGUUUAUUAAAAACACAGCACUGUGCAAACACGAAAGUGGACGUAUACGGUGUGACGCCUGCCCGGUGCCGGAAGGUUAAUUGAUGGGGUCAGCGCAAGCGAAGCUCCUGAUCGAAGCCCCGGUAAACGGCGGCCGUAACUAUAACGGUCCUAAGGUAGCGAAAUUCCUUGUCGGGUAAGUUCCGACCUGCACGAAUGGCGUAAUGAUGGCCAGGCUGUCUCCACCCGAGACUCAGUGAAAUUGAACUCGCUGUGAAGAUGCAGUGUACCCGCGGCAAGACGGAAAGACCCCGUGAACCUUUACUAUAGCUUGACACUGAACAUUGAGCCUUGAUGUGUAGGAUAGGUGGGAGGCUUUGAAGUGUGGACGCCAGUCUGCAUGGAGCCGACCUUGAAAUACCACCCUUUAAUGUUUGAUGUUCUAACGUGGACCCGUGAUCCGGGUUGCGGACAGUGUCUGGUGGGUAGUUUGACUGGGGCGGUCUCCUCC